GUUAUUUUAAUUUUAAUUGAUUUUAUUAUAUCAGUGUUUGCUAUAUUAGCCGUAUUCAAUUAGUGAAAAUUUUAUAGGAAACAGACUUAAGAUCAAAAUAGCUAUAAAUUCUUAGCAAGAAUGGUACGCCCGGGUGGACUCGAACCACUGACCCCCACCA
Molecule: non-coding RNA, 160 nt
Organism: Gilliamella apicola
Lineage: Bacteria; Pseudomonadati; Pseudomonadota; Gammaproteobacteria; Orbales; Orbaceae
Source: Rfam